CCCCUAGAUGUUCUGGGCCGCACGCGCGCUACACUGAACAGUUCAACAAGUCUUAACCUUGGCCGAUAGGUCUGGGUAAUCUUUGAACGCUGUUCGUGAUUGGGAUAGACCUUUGCAAUUAUGGGUCUUCAACGAGGAAUUCCUAGUAAACGCAAGUCAUCAGCUUGCAUUGAUUACGUCCCUGCCCUUUGUACACACCGCCCGUCGCACCUACCGAUUGAAUGGUCCGGUGAAUCUUUCGGACUGCGCGCGGCUUCGUGCCGUGUCGCGGAAAGUCAGGUAAACCUUAUCACUUAGAGGAAGGAGAAGUCGUAACA
This 317-nucleotide ribosomal RNA is filed under the name uncultured eukaryote. Its description in RNAcentral is "partial 18S ribosomal RNA". It matches the Rfam family "Eukaryotic small subunit ribosomal RNA", at positions 1470 to 1796 of the family's 1831-position model. The record is from RNAcentral.